GGCUCAGGACGAACGCUGGCGGCGUGCUUAACACAUGCAAGUCGAACGAUGAACCACUUCGGUGGGGAUUAGUGGCGAACGGGUGAGUAACACGUGGGCAAUCUGCCCUUCACUCUGGGACAAGCCCUGGAAACGGGGUCUAAUACCGGAUAUCACUCUCGCAGGCAUCUGUGAGGGUCGAAAGCUCCGGCGGUGAAGGAUGAGCCCGCGGCCUAUCAGCUUGUUGGUGAGGUAACGGCUCACCAAGGCGACGACGGGUAGCCGGCCUGAGAGGGCGACCGGCCACACUGGGACUGAGACACGGCCCAGACUCCUACGGGAGGCAGCAGUGGGGAAUAUUGCACAAUGGGCGAAAGCCUGAUGCAGCGACGCCGCGUGAGGGAUGACGGCCUUCGGGUUGUAAACCUCUUUCAGCAG
Molecule: ribosomal RNA, 417 nt
Filed under: Streptomyces longwoodensis
Lineage: Bacteria; Bacillati; Actinomycetota; Actinomycetes; Kitasatosporales; Streptomycetaceae
Description: bacterial SSU rRNA
Rfam family: Bacterial small subunit ribosomal RNA
Source: RNAcentral